GAUGAACGCUGGCGGCGUGCUUAACACAUGCAAGUCGAACGAGAAAUGGAGACGGAAACCUUCGGGCGGAAGGCUUCAUUUCGAGUGGCGGACGGGUGAGUAACGCGUGGGUAACCUGCCUCAUACAGGGGGAUAACAGUUGGAAACGACUGUUAAUACCGCAUAAGACCACAGCACCGCAUGGUGCGGGGGUAAAAACUCCGGUGGUAUGAGAUGGACCCGCGUUCGAUUAGCCAGUUGGCGGGGUAACGGCCCACCAAAGCGACGAUCGAUAGCCGAUCUGAGAGGAUGACCGGCCACAUUGGGACUGAGACACGGCCCAAACUCCUACGGGAGGCAGCAGUGGGGAAUAUUGCACAAUGGGGGAAACCCUGAUGCAGCGACGCCGCGUGAGUGAAGAAGUACUUCGGGAUGUAAAGCUCUAUCAGCAGGGAAGAAAAUGACGGUACCUGAGUAAGAAGCCCCGGCUAACUACGUG
RNAcentral lists this ribosomal RNA (478 nucleotides) under uncultured bacterium. RNAcentral describes it as "partial 16S ribosomal RNA". It matches the Rfam family "Bacterial small subunit ribosomal RNA", at positions 28 to 507 of the family's 1533-position model. The record is from RNAcentral.